This 253-nucleotide ribosomal RNA is filed under the name uncultured bacterium. RNAcentral describes it as "partial 16S ribosomal RNA". It matches the Rfam family "Bacterial small subunit ribosomal RNA", at positions 524 to 776 of the family's 1533-position model. The record is from RNAcentral.
UACGUAGGGUGCGAGCGUUAAUCGGAAUUACUGGGCGUAAAGCGUGCGCAGGCGGUUAUGUAAGACAGAGGUGAAAUCCCCGGGCUCAACCUGGGAACUGCCUUUGUGACUGCAUGACUAGAGUAAGGCAGAGGGGGAUGGAAUUCCGCGUGUAGCAGUGAAAUGCGUAGAUAUGCGGAGGAACAACGAUGGCGAAGGCAAUCCCCUGGGCCUGUACUGACGCUCAUGAACGAAAGCGUGGGGAGCAAACAGG